UCGAACGAUGAGGCCCAGCUUGCUGGGUGGAUUAGUGGCGAACGGGUGAGUAACACGUGAGUAACCUGCCCUGGACUCUGGGAUAACCCCGAGAAAUCGGAGCUAAUACCGGAUAUGACCUUUCCUCGCAUGAGGGUUGGUGGAAAGUUUUUCGGUCUGGGAUGGACUCGCGGCCUAUCAGCUUGUUGGUGAGGUAAUGGCUCACCAAGGCGUCGACGGGUAGCCGGCCUGAGAGGGUGACCGGCCACACUGGGACUGAGACACGGCCCAGACUCCUACGGGAGGCAGCAGUGGGGAAUAUUGCACAAUGGGCGCAAGCCUGAUGCAGCAACGCCGCGUGCGGGAUGACGGCCUUCGGGUUGUAAACCGCUUUUAGUAAGGAAGAAGGGGAGCUUGCUCCUUGACGGUACUUGCAGAAAAAGGACCGGCUAACUACGUGCCAGCAGCCGCGGUAAUACGUAGGGUCCGAGCGUUGUCCGGAAUUAUUGGGCGUAAAGAGCUCGUAGGCGGUUUGUCGCGUCUGCUGUGAAAUCCCGAGGCUCAACCUCGGGCCUGCAGUGGGUACGGGCAGACUUGAGUGGUGUAGGGGAGACUGGAAUUCCUGGUGUAGCGGUGGAAUGCGCAGAUAUCAGGAGGAACACCGAUGGCGAAGGCAGGUCUCUGGGCACUUACUGACGCUGAGGAGCGAAA
RNAcentral lists this ribosomal RNA (690 nucleotides) under Agromyces binzhouensis. Its description in RNAcentral is "bacterial SSU rRNA". It matches the Rfam family "Bacterial small subunit ribosomal RNA", at positions 62 to 758 of the family's 1533-position model. The record is from RNAcentral. Lineage: Bacteria; Bacillati; Actinomycetota; Actinomycetes; Micrococcales; Microbacteriaceae.